CGGCCCGUCCUCUGAACACGGCCGGUGUCCGAGCCGCAGGCUUGGCCAGUUUGCUGUCUGUUUGCUGAGUGUCCUAGGCUGGCUCCAAUCACCUACAUCAUUCACCUGUUAGCAGAAAAGCCCGCGGUUGUAGAGGUUAAAGAACAGAAGUUGUUCCAGAAGAAGGAAGGAAAGAGUGCAUGGAGCCAAGACAAAAGUGUUCAAGGACAUUACUGCUAAAUGACAGGAGCAACUGGGUUAAGGUUAGAACCCGGAACAGUGAAGUCACAACUCUGCCAGCCCAAGCUGACUAAAGGUGAGGUACCAAAUAAGCAGCACCGUGACAGUACGGUGGGUGGGAUUUUAAUAAACAUUUAUAUUGUAACACUCCAUUUGUGGCUCUGCAAGACCAUACCAGUGCUAACAUUUAAUAGUGUACAAGAACCUAACCAUGUAAAUCUGUAUUGAUACAAUGUAGACACUAAUUUUAUAGUAAAAUGUGUAUACUUAUUUUUAGUAAGGGCAGCAAAUGAUAAAAACACAAAGUAAAACAUGCCUUAAAUCACAAGAGUUCAGUUUCUGUAUCAGCUGACAGAACGUAAGCCUGCAUAAUAAAGACAGAAUUCAAUAAUGA
Corvus hawaiiensis (hawaiian crow) is the source of this 613-nucleotide long non-coding RNA. RefSeq lists it as uncharacterized. The transcript is spliced from 3 exons. The record is from RefSeq and is a predicted model, not a curated record. Lineage: Eukaryota; Metazoa; Chordata; Aves; Passeriformes; Corvidae.